CAAUAGCGUAUAUUAAAGUUGUUGCGGUUAAAAAGCUCGUAGUUGGAUUUCUGCCGAGGACGACCGGUCCGCCCUCUGGGUGUGUAUCUGGUUUGGCCUGGGCAUCUUCUUGGAGAACGUAGCUGCACUUGGCUGUGUGGUGCGGUGUCCAGGACUUUUACUUUGAGGAAAUUAGAGUGUUUCAAGCAGGCACACGCCUUGAAUACAUUAGCAUGGAAUAAUAAGAUAGGACCUCGGUUCUAUUUUGUUGGUUUCUAGAGCUGAGGUAAUGAUUAAUAGGGAUAGUUGGGGGCAUUCGUAUUUAACUGUCAGAGGUGAAAUUCUUGGAUUUGUUAAAGACGGACCACUGCGAAAGCAUUUGCCAAGGAUGUUUUCAUUG
This 379-nucleotide ribosomal RNA is filed under the name uncultured eukaryote. RNAcentral's name for it is "partial 18S ribosomal RNA". It matches the Rfam family "Eukaryotic small subunit ribosomal RNA", at positions 592 to 975 of the family's 1831-position model. The record is from RNAcentral.